GAUGAACGCUGGCGGCGUGCCUAAUACAUGCAAGUCGAGCGAACAGACGAGGAGCUUGCUCCUCUGACGUUAGCGGCGGACGGGUGAGUAACACGUGGAUAACCUACCUAUAAGACUGGGAUAACUUCGGGAAACCGGAGCUAAUACCGGAUAAUAUAUUGAACCGCAUGGUUCAAUAGUGAAAGACGGUUUUGCUGUCACUUAUAGAUGGAUCCGCGCCGCAUUAGCUAGUUGGUAAGGUAACGGCUUACCAAGGCAACGAUGCGUAGCCGACCUGAGAGGGUGGUCGGCCACACUGGAACUGAGACACGGUCCAGACUCCUACGGGAGGCAGCAGUAGGGAAUCUUCCGCAAUGGGCGAAAGCCUGACGGAGCAACGCCGCGUGAGUGAUGAAGGUCUUCGGAUCGUAAAACUCUGUUAUUAGGGAAGAACAAAUGUUUAAGUAACUAUGCACGUCUUGACGGUACCUAAUCAGAAAGCCACGGCUAACUACGUG
This 497-nucleotide ribosomal RNA is filed under the name uncultured bacterium. RNAcentral describes it as "partial 16S ribosomal RNA". It matches the Rfam family "Bacterial small subunit ribosomal RNA", at positions 28 to 507 of the family's 1533-position model. The record is from RNAcentral.